UAAGGAAAAUGAGAUUCAGAUAGAUUUGCUUAUGUCACAAUGACACUUCAUAUGGAGCCAAGACUUCCUAUUAGAUCUCUCUUGAUUCAACACUCUGCUAUAUUCCUCCAUGACUCUGAAGAUGGUGGUGAAGGAAAAACUUUCAGAAGGUUUACAGUUGUAUCCAGUGACAAAAUAGAUAUAAUUCUACAUUUUCUCCAUUAGUUGAAUAAAGCUAAAUAUGAAUAAAUAACUGCUUUG
Molecule: long non-coding RNA, 240 nt
Organism: Sarcophilus harrisii (Tasmanian devil)
Lineage: Eukaryota; Metazoa; Chordata; Mammalia; Dasyuromorphia; Dasyuridae
Exons: 3
Source: RefSeq, a predicted model, not a curated record